CACAUGCAAGUCGAGCGGCAGCGGGAAGUAGUUUACUACUUUGCCGGCGAGCGGCGGACGGGUGAGUAAUGUCUGGGAAACUGCCUGAUGGAGGGGGAUAACUACUGGAAACGGUAGCUAAUACCGCAUGACCUCGCAAGAGCAAAGUGGGGGACCUUCGGGCCUCACGCCAUCGGAUGUGCCCAGAUGGGAUUAGCUAGUAGGUGGGGUAAUGGCUCACCUAGGCGACGAUCCCUAGCUGGUCUGAGAGGAUGACCAGCCACACUGGAACUGAGACACGGUCCAGACUCCUACGGGAGGCAGCAGUGGGGAAUAUUGCACAAUGGGCGCAAGCCUGAUGCAGCCAUGCCGCGUGUGUGAAGAAGGCCUUCGGGUUGUAAAGCACUUUCAGCGAGGAGGAAGGCAGUCGUGUUAAUAGCACGAUUGAUUGUCGUUACU
This 438-nucleotide ribosomal RNA is filed under the name Yersinia intermedia. RNAcentral describes it as "bacterial SSU rRNA". It matches the Rfam family "Bacterial small subunit ribosomal RNA", at positions 52 to 479 of the family's 1533-position model. Lineage: Bacteria; Pseudomonadati; Pseudomonadota; Gammaproteobacteria; Enterobacterales; Yersiniaceae. The record is from RNAcentral.